RNAcentral lists this transfer RNA (61 nucleotides) under Liposcelis bostrychophila. Its description in RNAcentral is "tRNA-Leu". Lineage: Eukaryota; Metazoa; Arthropoda; Insecta; Psocodea; Liposcelididae. The record is from RNAcentral.
AGUGAUCUAGCAAAAAUAGUGCAUUAAAUUUAGAAUUUAAAGAUAGUUAAACUGUUCAAUA